This 459-nucleotide ribosomal RNA is filed under the name uncultured Anaerolineaceae bacterium. RNAcentral describes it as "bacterial SSU rRNA". It matches the Rfam family "Bacterial small subunit ribosomal RNA", at positions 910 to 1382 of the family's 1533-position model. Lineage: Bacteria; Bacillati; Chloroflexota; Anaerolineae; Anaerolineales; Anaerolineaceae. The record is from RNAcentral.
UUGACGGGGGCCCGCACAAGCAGCGGAGCGUGUGGUUUAAUUCGUUGCUACACGAAGAACCUUACCUGGGUUUGACAUAUAGGUUGUAGGGAACUGAAAAGGGACCGACCCUUCGGGGAGCCUAUACAGGUGUUGCAUGGCUGUCGUCAGCUCGUGUCGUGAGAUGUUCGGUUAAGUCCGCUAACGAGCGCAACCCUCGUCGUAUGUUAUAUGUGUCAUACGAGACUGCCGGUAAAAAGCCGGAGGAAGGUGAGGAUGAUGUCAAGUCAGCAUGACCUUUAUAUCCAGGGCUACACACACGCUACAAUGGUCUGUACAAUGGGUAGCCAAGCCGCGAGGCGGAGCCAAUCCUGAAAGCAGGCCUCAGUUCAGAUUGCAGUCUGCAACUCAACUGCAUGAAGCCGGAGUUGCUAGUAACCGCAGGUCAGCAAUACUGCGGUGAAUACGUUCCCGGGUCUU